This is a long non-coding RNA of Miniopterus natalensis, 1255 nucleotides long. RefSeq lists it as uncharacterized. The record is from RefSeq and is a predicted model, not a curated record. NCBI's taxonomy places the organism in Eukaryota, Metazoa, Chordata, Mammalia, Chiroptera, Miniopteridae.
CGGCCAGGGCUCAGAUGGGUUUAAAAGCAGGUGGUUGGAAUCCUAGCCACAUGCCCUUCCUGCUGAGUCAUGGUCUCUCCAAGCCUCAGUUUGCUCAUCUGUGAAAUGGGGUAACAGGAAUGCCUACCUCAGAUGGUCAGCGUGAAAGUGCUCGGAGCAUGGCAGGGGUUGGAUAAAUGUCAGCCCAGCCUCCAUGCUUCCAGGACUUAGUUUAUUCACGUGGGACUGAAGCCGAUAAUGUCUGACUUCCAGAGUUAUUUGGGUUAAAGCAGGUAGAAGGUGCUGUGUGGAUGCACCAGUGCGGGCAGGCACUGCUGCUGGUGGGGCUCGGGCCCUGGCCUCAGCCCUAAUUCUGGGCGGUUAACCAGCCUGCUGUUGGCAUAGGCUGGCGGUGAGGCAGGUUGGGGCGGAGGGGGGACCUCAGAUUGGUUUUCUGUUGCCUCAGGCUCCCUUCCCCGGCUCCUGCCCAACCCAUCCAUUCCAGUGUCUGCUGUCUCCUGUGGGGUUUUUGCAGGUGGGAAACUGAGGCUCAGAGAGAUUUGCCUGAGCUGUAGCAAGAAUCCUUACCUCCCGGGGCUGUUUUGCAACUUAAACAAGAGAGGGGCCAGUCCCCGACAGGAGCUCUGACAUCUGUGCCCGCUGUGCCCCCAAGAGAGGCCUCUGGCAGUCCCCCGCGUCUCUGGCCCAAGCUUUCCUCCUUGCAGCCGCAGAACAAACAAGGUGGGAACCAGUCUUUAUUUGCUUCUCUGCUAAUGUGUUGGGCGGGAGGGGAGACAGAAAAGAGGACUUUUCAGACAUCUCCCUGCUGCCUGGGUGGGAUGGUGGGAGUUCCAGGAAACUCGCCCUCGGUGCCCAGCCCCGUCUGCCCAGGGGAGUGCUGCCAAGGGCAGGGGGCUGCCAGCCAGCCAGCAGGGCCUUGCCCCUCCCUGCUCUUGCUCCUGGCUAAACGUUGGACUUGGAGCCAGAGAGACCUGAGUUCAAGUCCAACUCUUCUCCCUCUAAGCUGUGACGGCCCCUCUUUUGUUUAUUUAUAUUUUUAAAAUAACUUUUCAUUUUUUAAUUACAGUUGGCAUACAAUAUUAUAUUAGUUUCAGGUAUACAACCCAGCGAUUAGACAUUUAUGUAACUUACAAAAUGAUCACCCUGAUAGAACUAGUACCCAUCGAAUACCACACAUGGUUGUUACAACAUUCAAUAAUAUUGACUAUAUUCCCCGUGCUGUACAAUAUAUUGACUAUAUUCCCCAUGACUAUUC